CUAUCAAAACACAGGAUGUUAGUGGUUGGAGAAGUUGACUUCUCUUUCUCUCUUUCUUUAGCCAGACUUUCGGUUCUGCUCUCAACUUGGUUUCAACUACUGUUGAUACCCAAGGCACUCUCUUUUUUCUUUCUUUACUUCAACUUGUUAAAGGGUUUCUUUUGUUUGGUUGACAAAAGAAAGAAUUUUUAAUGAUCCGUAAAGGGUUUGUCUUUGUUUGAGUUGCAGAUAACAUAGCCAAUAAAUACAGUAAUGGCGUAGGAAAUGCGAGGGAACUAGAAGAGAAGGGAGGGUUAGUGCUCUAUGGAGUGGAUGCAAUAGAGAUGAGUCAGUGCAACUUUUUGAGGACUCAGAGGUUUGAUCGAAUUGUCUAUCAACUUCCCUCAUGUUGAUUUCCUCUUCCCUGAGGGUAGCUAGUGCCAAAUCCAGUUGAACAAGAUAUUGCUAAGGGGUUAUUUGAGCAAUGGCGAAGUCAUGUUGAAAAAGGAUAAAGGGGAGAUUCGUGUAACACACAAAGGCGACAAUGGAAUUUAGUCAAGAAAGCAGAGAAGAUAGGCUUGGUUUUUGCAUGAAAUUGUGCCCUUCUCCAAAGAUGACUAUCCAGGAUAUGACAACAAGAGAGAGCUCAUGGAAGCCUUUCCGAUGCUCCCUCUCGACUUGGGGAUAGCAGUACUUAAAAGUUCAAGCCCAAUCAGUCAUCCAAGUUCAAUAGAUCAUCAAGUAGAAAUGCCUGAAUGUUCUGUGGUGACAGAUAACUGAGCAGAAGUACUGCUGAUUCGGGAGUACAUCUUGUGGAACAUGUACUUUCAUAAAUUCAUACAGCUGGUGUUUUGUAAUAAUUACUCGUAUUUUUUGGUGUUCAGAAAUCAAAAUACUUUAGCAGCUGAUUAGUACCAUCUUAAACCAAAUAUAUCCCUGAUGCUUGCUUUGUCGAGGCUUCAUGAUUCAUGAGGUGCUGCAUAAAGGUACGCCUUAGGAGAAAGUCCUAUGGUUACGACGGCAUGCAUGUUGACAUGUUGGCUUUUAUGACAGUGAUUAAUGAGAGUCUGUAUGAUCUCCAUGGAAAUUGUGUUCUGUAUAACCCCAUCUCCAGUGAAAUUGGCAUCUUUUUUUAAUUGAAGAAAUAACAUCAAGCGUGAAAUGACAUGGAUUUCUGGAGGAUUCGCAUGCCAUUGACAUGGAGGAACUGGUCAAAGUUUUAUAGAGAUAAACGGGGCGGAUCCUAGCUAGUGCACAGGUUGAAUAUAUAUCCUCAGGAUGAGCUGAGGAAGAGAUGCAAUUUUCUUCUUCGUUAAGGCCUUGAUUACGACGCAAAACAUACUCAAGCUAAAGUAUUAUAUGUUGUCAUUGUCUUGCAUUGUUUAACAUUGUGAUGUAAUAACUUAUUCAUGAAACUUAUUCAUGAAAAAGACAUGGUGAUUUACAGACA
Populus euphratica (Euphrates poplar) is the source of this 1429-nucleotide long non-coding RNA. RefSeq lists it as uncharacterized. NCBI's taxonomy places the organism in Eukaryota, Viridiplantae, Streptophyta, Magnoliopsida, Malpighiales, Salicaceae. The record is from RefSeq and is a predicted model, not a curated record. The transcript is spliced from 2 exons.